GCAGCGCUGAGCAAUGACAAGAUCAAGGAAGUCCUGAAGUGCAUGGCAGACCACGCCCCUGCCCAGGUAAAACCAAAAGCUGUGGAGAUCAUCGCCGAGAAGGGAGACCGUGCAGCUGAGCUUAUUAAAAAGAAGUGCGAGUCCGACGCAGACUUUGACGCGCUGCUGACGACUGUGUUCUCGGACAAAGUUGCGAACGCUGUUAAGACGGCUUACAGUCAUUGCAAGCCGGCAUCUGGAUAGCCAGUGCGUUGUGCGGAUCACUGGCGACACUUUUGCACCAUAGAAUGUAUAUUCCGAAAUAAAAGCGUGAGUG
This is a long non-coding RNA of Rhipicephalus sanguineus (brown dog tick), 316 nucleotides long. RefSeq lists it as uncharacterized. The transcript has 4 exons. The record is from RefSeq and is a predicted model, not a curated record. NCBI's taxonomy places the organism in Eukaryota, Metazoa, Arthropoda, Arachnida, Ixodida, Ixodidae.